CUUAGCUCAACGGUAUGAGUCUUGGGUAAACAGGCAAACUUUGGAUGAGCGCUCUAUGACAGAAAAUAAGGUGUGCAAAACAUGUCAGCGGCCUUUGCUCUACCUGUGAUCUCUCUGCAUAUGUAAUCUUUAGCAGACAAGGACAUGCUACAACUCGUGCCUUCCAGUACUGGAGAUAGCAUUCCACUUCCCUGUUUAUGUCACUUUUCUGCAGGCGGACUGAACUCGAGCACAGCGUGAGGUAACAGAGCCCUGAUAAUGGAGACUUUCCCACGCAUUUCUCAGUAAAAUGAGACGAGGGCUUUGUAAGCUUCGCUCUGGGAAAAAAAGACUGUCAUCUGACACAGAAAACGUAAACAGUCACACGGUUCUCCCGUGUUGAGAUCCUUCGUGUCCAUUCACAUUAUUGCCCUUUUCCCGAGUGUUUGAAAACACAAGUGUUGUUCUUCCUCUGCAUUCCCACCCAAAAUUCCUGCUGUAAGAAAACAAUGUUGUUUUAACUUUUCACAUGGAGUUCUCUCUAUUGACCUUAGAAUCGACUCUCUUAUCCAAUACAGCGCUCUUGCCAGAUUUUGCAUGAUCUUGCAGGAUAAUGAAUUCAUGAAGACUUCAGGAAAUGAAAGUUAGUUGACAACUACAAGUAAAGCAUAGCAUGCAGUACAAUAUCAUUCUUGAAUUUGCACUUAUAGGUGCUAUGUGUUUUUGCUUUUUUUUGCAUUAAAGACAUAGAUUUCAGAGUCAAGUGGUUCUGAGGUUCAAAGGAUUUUCUUUACAGCACCUAAUUACUAAGAGUGAAUUUCUAUCAUGCCAGACAUUUUCCAUUCAGUAGAAUGUUUCAUUCUAGAAAGCUAGAACUGUUAAUGCCAAAUAAAAAAAUGAGCAAGUAUUAAUGUUUCAGCAAACAACUUAUCACCACAAGAAUUAGUGCUCUCCAUUUCCGCAUUUCAGCCACAUAUCUGUCUGACUGCGCCAUUGCGAAUUCAUGGAACUCAUCAGACCAGCAUUGUUUUCAUACCCUCAAAACAUUCAAAUAACUUCCCCUUUAAAUGGAGAAGAGUACCAUUGAUUUAGAAUGAAGCAGCACAAGUGCAAUAUCAUGACAAAGUUCCAGUUUUUGGUUUCUACACGAGGAAACAACAUGGACCAACAGUCUUCCGUUUCAUGUCUAUUAAUUUUAUUAAAAUCAUUUGUCAUUGAGGUUGGGUUACCUAUAGAUCUAUAUAAACACCAAGUGAAAUGACAACAACAAUAUAGGCCAUGUGCAAUGUCCUAAUCCUCACUUCCUUCCACUGUAGCCGCACUGUACACCAAUAAUCAGUAUGAUUCUGUUUUGUUUAAUGGUGUUCAGAAAACCAGAGAGAUACCUGACAGAAGCCUUGAGUGCAAUAUACUCAGGAGUGACUGUGAAGCACGGAAAUUAAAUAAUAGCGAACGUCAUCUCAUUUAAUAAUGGAAAACCGAAUAUCCCGAAAGUGCAAACAGCACUCAUAUUGAGUAUCAUAUUCCCCACUGAGCAAUGUUUCCACUGGAAAGUACCAGUAUUCUCAGGUUCUUGGUAGUCUUCCUCUGAAACUCCACCUGGUACUCUCAUGCCUCAUAUCAAAUAUUAAAUACAGUAAACACAAUAAAUCAAUCCCAUUUCCUGGUUUGUUUAAGUAUUGAGUUUGAGUUACACUGUACACAAAAGCAAUACCACACCACAGAUCAUUGAAUGUUGAGGACAUAGAAAGAUUAACAAUGAAACAUCAGUUUUUACAGUGUCAUUGAACAUUCUGAAGCAUAUUUAACCUUUGCAGAUGCACAGAGAGUCUCUCAGCUUAUAUGUCUCUCAGAACUGCUCUCAUUCCUUCUGGAAUCAGAGGCAGUGUUGUUUUUUUCUUUCUUUUUGGCCUGCUACCAGCAAACAGAGCCUCCUGACUGGCCAGUGGAUCUCUGCCUGUGUGGUAAACCUUUGGCCAGCUCCUCAUUCCCAGUCAUGUGAGCUGCACCACCCCCGCACUGCUCUGCACUGCACUCCAGUGCACUCCACAUACUGCUAGCUCCCUCCAAAUCACCUGAUCUCCUUAUGGGCAUCUACAGUCUACAUGAAAAACAGAAGGCUGGAGGAACAUACUCACACAGCCAGAAUACUGGAUAUGACGUGAGACAUGACUCAUUCAUUCCUCUAGCCUAGCCAGCAGGAAAGUCAAUGUAUCACCCUUGCACUUAUUUACCUGCUGUGUUGAUAAAGAAUGGUCUGUUUUAAAUGAUAGAUACAUAAUAUCUUUUUCAUCAUCAAUUAAAGCAGUUCUGCAAAGAAAAGUAGGCUAAAAUUCCUCCUCAGCAUAAGACUGAUAUCAAAUUACAGGAAGCAUUUGGUUGCAGCUAUUGCUGCAAAUGGUGCAGAACACACUGAGCUGGCCUACAGAUAGCCAGUGUCUGCGGUAUGUGCUUCUCUGUCUAAACGAGAUUACCGCGGGCUUGGUUGAGACUUUGAGGUGCUUGACUAUUCAGAGCAUGAAGUUAUUACAAAGGACUAAACGUCAAAAAACCUGUUUAUACGCCUCAUACUUGUGUGCUCUGUGAUGUGACAAUUUAAGCAUUGUAUUUAACUUGCUUGUGACAUUCCAGAAUGUGUUUUUCCAGGAAAAAGAAAUAAGGGGUAAAUUGAAGCUAAAAUGGAAGGCAACUGGGUUCUUAUCAGCUGAAGUAGGACGCACAUGAAAGGUCUUGCCGCAUACCAGAAGAAGGGAACAUUCCUUUUCUGUUUGUUUUAUCGCUAUGAUAUCAAGUCUCGCCCAACAUUUAAUCUUACAAGCACAUACUCUGUUUCUUAGUAGCAUUUAAAAAACAAAACAAACUAAUCACGUGGUUAUCUUGAUUGAUGUACGCGUGGAAUGUGAAACCUUCACAACUUUCUAUUAAAAGUUUGUUUGGUGCAGUGUACUUAAAGAAUAAAAUCAAAUAUAUUUGUUGUGCACAGUGGGAUUUAUAUUAUUUAAUAAUAUUUAACUGACGUACUUAUACCUAAAACAUCUCAGGUGUCCAAAUCAUAUCAUCACAGCAUUCCAGUUGGUCUCUAGGAUGGUGAAAUUCUGAGCAAUAUUUUAUCACUGUCGUCCAGUUUUGUUUUGUGAAUGGCUUCUUGUAAAGUUAUUUUAAACUUUGCAUACUGCAAUAAUUUAUUAAGAACAAUUUCUGAGAGUGCAUGUUUGUUAUAUACCUCACAAUCUACAAAGAGCCAUGGCUAUGCACAUUUUUGCCUUUUCUUUACAACUAUGACAUGGCUGGGUCUCAGUAAUGUUCUCUGUGUAACGUGAUAAACUGCCUCAUUUCAUAUGCAUGGGGACAGUGUUGCUGGACCACCACAGAUUUCAUGGCUACUUUGUGGUUUGAAUCUACAACCACACAUGUAUGGUUAUGUAACUUGCUAAUCCACAUAUAAACUGAAACCUUCAUGUCAGUUUUUUAAAAUUAAUAAUAUUUAAAUAUUAACAUGUUAACAUGUAUAAGAUGCAAUGUGUAUUUCUGUGAAUGUGUUCAUGUGAGUGUGCGUGUGUACUGGCUGUAGCAGGAUGCAGACUGACCUGGACUAUUUGUGUCAGCAAGCUGGGUCAGGCACAUUCUGUACGGAGCAUCCAGCCUGGACUGAGACAUGUCCUAACUUGCAGACAGGGCUUACAUAAGCAGACGAUGCAACCGAGUGUAAUACUUCACAAGGUGAUGCUGAAAUGACAGGGCAGGUACUGCGCUGUAUCUUUUCUGGACAUAACAAAGCAAUCCAGCCAAGUAUGAACUUGCCACAUCACUGUUAUUUAUGGAAAGAAUCACGGGUAUUAGACAGCAUGGCCUACUUACUGGACACCCGUGUCUGUUAAAAGCAGCAGUAAUUGUUGCUAAGAAGCUUUAUGUAACCACCAGAGUUUAACCACCAUUUGAUGAGUCAGAGGGAACCUCUUUCUUUACCAUCUCAGUAACCACAUGUACUGUAGGUUAUGCCAAAGCAGAAAAGGGAAUAACAUAACGACAGAGGAGUGGUUACUGUUGUCAUUGGUGACCUCAUUUUUAGAGGUUUUUUUUUUUCUUUUUUCAGAAAUAUAGAUUCUUACACUGUCAGCAGUAAGAAGAAAAGGAUUAACAUGUGGUGUCUCCGUGUGGAGGACCCCUGUCACAUGACCCUAGGAGCCUUGAAAAACAGACGCUCACCAGCUGGUUUCUUACAAGCAAACGUACUAUCAGAUGUGAGUGUGUGUUUGGGGAGAUGGGGCAUUCUCUUAUUAAGUUAUUUUGCCUGCCUGCACCAGUUACAUAAGAUGUCCUUCGGUAUAGUACAUAAGAUGUCCUCCAGUAUGAAAAGUGAGAGAUAAGUGAAUCUCUGUAGGUGAAUAGUAAAUUGAAAAGAAGUGGUGGCUGACUUUACACAUUUCAGAGAAUGAACAUUCUAGUCUGCAUCCUCCUGAACUGAAGAUGUUGCAGCUAUUGGAUAAGAUCAGAUUAAAAAUACAAUUCAUAUUUAAGAAUAGGAUAAAAUGCUUUUAAAAUAUGUAUAUUGUUGAAGAUUUUAUUUUAUUAUUUUAUCUUUUUAAAAAAAAAAUCUAGCCGUGCAAGUGGUGGGGUUUUUUAUGUCUUUGUAGAUAUUAAGACAGGUCUUGCUAUAUGGAGUUACAUUCAGAUGCUCAUAUGAUAUUUUUACCAGCACAUUUUGUAAGCUCAUUUCUAUAAGGUCGUUUUUUGCCUGUGGUUAAGCGUUUGCAUUAUUUGUCCACAAUAAGAAGCAAUCCCAGGCUUUGCGCUCUAUUUUGUUGUCAUCUUGAAUUUUGUAGACUAUUGCAGUUUUGAAAUGGGAAGAAUAUUUCCUGUGUAGAUACAUCAUAAACAAAAAAAGGAUUAUUCAUGUGACCUGGCACAGGUUCUGGAGCCUAUCCCAGCAUGUACUGAACGAGAGGCAGGAAUAUUUCACCUUUGCAGGGGAUUUUGUAGAUGCUGUUAUUAUCCAGAGCAACUUACGCAGGUUACAUUUUUACAUAUAAUCCAUUUCUACAGGUCCAUAUUUUUUUAUUGGAGCAAUUCAGGUUAAGUAUCUUGCUCAGGUAUGCAGUGACAGUGCCUCAGCUGCGAAUCAAACCCACAACAACGAAAUAAAAAGGAAUAAACCUGAAAAUAUUCAGAUUUAAUAUUGACUGCUAUUUAUAUUAUAAAAAUCAGCCUUACCAUCUGUUCUUUACUUUUAUCAGUGCGGAAAAUGUCUGAGUCUAAUAGCUGUAAAUGACUGGUAUAUGGGAACUAAUCAUUACCUUUUUAAUCAGCAUGAGUCACAAUGAAACAAGCUGAGGCGCGUCGGCGUGUCACCUUCCUGUGACUUGGAAUGUGCCAACCCAUUCUGAAGCAAGUCUGAACCGAAAAUUCAAACUUCUGGGGAAUUUCCAGAAGUCAUCAUGCAUGUAGUUCAUUUUGUGUGGGAGAAAAUUAAUCCCAAUCCUGAUUUAAAUGCCAUCAAACCAGUUUUAACAGAAUUGGUUGUGUUUUUGAAUCAGGAAGUUCUAUUUUUCGUAAAAUGAAAAGAACAGAAAAAUGUUUUACUUUCGUAUGAGUGCAUUUCUGACGAGAAUACUUUUGAAGAAAUUGAGGGAAAGAUGUUAUAUUUCAUUACUCUUUCCUUGCCAUAUUUCAUUACUUCUCAAACUAGCUUCCACACAGAGAGGUGUGAAUAAUGCCAUGUAAAACUGAAAUUCCCAAAAACUUUGCUCCCACGCUAUGUUAACAGAUGGCUGGUACUGUAGAGGCAAAGGAAAAUACGCACCUGAUACUUGUGAAGGGAUACAAUGUUAGGGAUAAAUGUUUUUGAUGGCUGUACACAAACACAUUCUACAGUCAGGUAGACCUGAAUGUGACCAUUGAGAGUGUACAAUAGCCACAGAUGGGAGACAUGAAGUAAAAUAAAGAUAAAGAGAUGGGCUAUGAGUCACAGGUUUCUGUUUCAGAUUGUGUGUGGGCGUGUGCGUGUGUGUAUUUGCGUAUUUUGACAUUCUAACUUCUGGUUGUAAAUUAGGGGGGAAACCUGCUUGUGUGUAAGUGUUUAAUGUUUGUCAAAGAAGAGCGCAGCUUUUCUGUCAACACUAUUGCCACCCCUGAAUCUAUUCUACAUUGUAUUAUGCUCCGUUAAUAAACUUCAUUCCUUCUGA
Anguilla anguilla (European eel) is the source of this 6161-nucleotide long non-coding RNA. RefSeq lists it as uncharacterized. The transcript is spliced from 2 exons. The record is from RefSeq and is a predicted model, not a curated record. NCBI's taxonomy places the organism in Eukaryota, Metazoa, Chordata, Actinopteri, Anguilliformes, Anguillidae.